Ceratobasidium sp. 414 is the source of this 96-nucleotide non-coding RNA. The record is from the annotation of a GenBank genome assembly. Lineage: Eukaryota; Fungi; Basidiomycota; Agaricomycetes; Cantharellales; Ceratobasidiaceae.
UCCCGCUUAGCUCAGUGGUAGAGCGCGUCACUAGUAGCUUACGUAAUCUUAUGUAAUCGCAUGACGAGGCCACUUGUUCAAAUCAGGUAGCGGGAA